This 468-nucleotide ribosomal RNA is filed under the name uncultured bacterium. RNAcentral's name for it is "partial 16S ribosomal RNA". It matches the Rfam family "Bacterial small subunit ribosomal RNA", at positions 28 to 507 of the family's 1533-position model. The record is from RNAcentral.
GACGAACGCUGGCGGCGUGCUUAACACAUGCAGGUCGAACGGAAAGGCCCUGCUUUUGUGGGGUGCUCGAGUGGCGAACGGGUGAGUAACACGUGAGUAACCUGCCCUUGACUUUGGGAUAACUUCAGGAAACUGGGGCUAAUACCGGAUAGGAGCUCCUGCUGCAUGGUGGGGGUUGGAAAGUUUCGGCGGUUGGGGAUGAACUCGCGGCUUAUCAGCUUGUUGGUGGGGUAGUGGCUUACCAAGGCUUUGACGGGUAGCCGGCCUGAGAGGGUGACCGGCCACAUUGGGACUGAGAUACGGCCCAGACUCCUACGGGAGGCAGCAGUGGGGAAUAUUGCACAAUGGGCGGAAGCCUGAUGCAGCAACGCCGCGUGCGGGAUGACGGCCUUCGGGUUGUAAACCGCUUUCGCCUGUGACGAAGCGUGAGUGACGGUAAUGGGUAAAGAAGCACCGGCUAACUACGUG